Molecule: long non-coding RNA, 1149 nt
Filed under: Mustela putorius furo (domestic ferret)
Lineage: Eukaryota; Metazoa; Chordata; Mammalia; Carnivora; Mustelidae
Description: lncRNA (ENSMPUG00000030825.1)
Source: RNAcentral
AUGGGCUGCCAAAUACUGAGUAUAAACUGCCAAGGUGUGAGCAUUUCAAGUGAUUGCAUUUUUGGUUACCAUGAUACUAUAAAGUGGAAACCAUCAUGGAAAGGAGAACAAAGGAGAACGUGCUACUGGGAUAUACUUGGCUUUAUUUUCUGGAUGCUGCGUAAUCUUUGGCAAAAGGUAGUAGAUGAUUUAUGGUUCAUAAAGGAUGUAUAAUAAACCAGGCGUCCCUCUCCCCUGUGUAAGACCAUUCAGCCUUGCACUGAGAAUAAAGUCUCAGUUUGUCAUACCCCACCAGUCACUACUUUGCCCCACCUUGUGGGCACCUUGUGUUCCCUGAACUGAGGUCAUUCCCUCCAAAUAUCCAAGCCCAGCUUGGGUCUGUCUUGGGUGUUUUGCAAAUGCUCUUUGUCUCCUUCCCACCUGCCUCCCUUUGCAAGACUAAUUCCUCUCCUUGAGGUCUCAACUUUCCUUCAUCUCAGAGACGUCGCCGUGUAAAGUGGUGGUCAGCACCCUUGUUCAAAACAUUUACCAUCAUCAUUUGCAGCUUAUUUAAUAUGUUUGCAAAACUUUUGACAAAGAUUAUUUUAAUACAUAUAAAGCCCAUCCACUUCUUAUAACACCCUGUGAAGGAUAAUAGGAAUUCAUAUUCCCAUUUUUACAGACGAAGAAACAGACCCACAGAGGUAAAGUCAUUUUCCAGGGACACGCAAAUAGGAAGUGGCUGAGCCCAGUUCAAACUCAGAUGGUUUGGUGUCUGAAGAUCAUCCUCUUAAAUAACCACUAUGCUAACUUGUCUCUCAGUGUGGUGUGACCCUCCAUCAAACACUGUAACCAUUGUCUCCCUCCAACUCCCACAACUUUACUAACAUGUUUUUUUUUUUUUUAAUUGCGUUGUGAAUAUUGUAGAGCUGUAAAACCCUUAAGGUUUUUUUUUUUUAAAUUUUCAUAAGGUUUAAAAAUUUAUUUUAUUACUGUUUUCUUCCACCUGUAUUUGCUUAGGUCUUUUGUGGCUAGAUAGUUGCUGGCCUUCAUCUCCCACCUGCAUAUAUUGAACCAGCCCUAUUGUCCUUCUCUCACACCUGGUUCCUGUCGAAGCCUCCUAACUGAUCUGGUUCUACUGACCUCUCACUUUACUCUGUCAUGUCAAAC